This 496-nucleotide ribosomal RNA is filed under the name uncultured bacterium. Its description in RNAcentral is "partial 16S ribosomal RNA". It matches the Rfam family "Bacterial small subunit ribosomal RNA", at positions 28 to 507 of the family's 1533-position model. The record is from RNAcentral.
GAUGAACGCUGGCGGCGUGCCUAAUACAUGCAAGUCGAGCGAACAGACGAGGAGCUUGCUCCUCUGACGUUAGCGGCGGACGGGUGAGUAACACGUGGAUAACCUACCUAUAAGACUGGGAUAACUUCGGGAAACCGGAGCUAAUACCGGAUAAUAUAUUGAACCGCAUGGUUCAAUAGUGAAAGACGGUUUUGCUGUCACUUAUAGAUGGAUCCGCGCCGCAUUAGCUAGUUGGUAAGGUAACGGCUUACCAAGGCAACGAUGCGUAGCCGACCUGAGAGGGUGAUCGGCCACACUGGAACUGAGACACGGUCAGACUCCUACGGGAGGCAGCAGUAGGGAAUCUUCCGCAAUGGGCGAAAGCCUGACGGAGCAACGCCGCGUGAGUGAUGAAGGUCUUCGGAUCGUAAAACUCUGUUAUUAGGGAAGAACAAAUGUGUAAGUAACUAUGCACGUCCUGACGGUACCUAAUCAGAAAGCCACGGCUAACUACGUG